GAGUCAGCCUUAAGGUAACCCGUUGUUAACAUGAAUUGUUGCACCUAAUUAAAGUACAUUGUUUCUACUGUCAGUCUGUCACCGUCCAGGUAACCAUACAAAUCACUGUACAACAUCCUUAACUACACUGUUGCACCAUUUGGAUAUCUACUUGGACAGUUGGACUCUAUGGACUUCCAACAUCAUUUUCAGAAUCACGUUCCCAGCCAGCAAAUGAAAGCACGGACAUUCAACUUCAAACUCCUGAUAAGACAGAAGGUAUAAAGAUAAUCAAAUACUUUACCAAACAACAUUAAGCAGUAAAUUUAACUAAUCAUGAUUAUUAUCAUUUUUUCUACUGAGUAGCCAAAAGCCUAAGCUAAACUAAUCCCAGGGGACUACGGGAGGCUCCCACAGCUAUCCACUGCAUGACCUCCCACUUCAGGCAGAAAUGUCCAAGUGAGAAGUCGAACCCCUGACCCGUGCGCCAAACAACACAAUCAAGAAGUCUGCUACUGAGUUUAAAACCAAGCAUUUGAUACAUUGCAUACAGCAUAUUGAAAACAUCUAAAAUCAACUGUAAUGAGAACAAGAUCAAGUAGCAAAUUUGAUGAAUAAGUUAACAUUGCUGACUAAGGGCAUCUUCAUUAAACAUUGUAUCAAAUCAAUUUGGUGAGAAAAUGAAAAAUUUCAACUCUAAGAUAGCUCCAUACUCACCUGUUGAAGAACCAGCUACACCAGAUCGUUUAUUCGCACUAAGCAUUUUAUAGCCU
This 752-nucleotide long non-coding RNA is filed under the name Aquilegia coerulea. Its description in RNAcentral is "long non-coding RNA (ACOE_LNC002116)". Lineage: Eukaryota; Viridiplantae; Streptophyta; Magnoliopsida; Ranunculales; Ranunculaceae. The record is from RNAcentral.